CAGAAAAAGUGUACCUUUUAAGCGUUUACGUGUCCCGUUAAAAUAGGACUGUUUUAAAUAUAUACCAUGGCAAAAAAAUACAAAGUCCCAGUGAUAAUUUAAUAAAAUGCAUUGUUCUAAUGAAGAUAAAAUAUUUUUAAUUCAAAUGCACUUUGUAUUUAUUUUUUAAUAUAUUUUUUUCUGUGGCAUACGCGGUUGGUCCCAUACAAUUUUUCAUGUCCCAAUUCUAAAGGAUUUCUUAUCUCAGAUAUUUGUUACGAUAUAUAUUAGUCGUUUUAAAUAUUUAAUGUAUGAUACUCAUUCCUUUAUGGUUUAUCUUAAGUAUUUUGCACAUAUUAUAAUAGCUUUUUAUAUAAAAAGUCGUAAUUUUUUUUAUUCAUAUACCUGUCUCAACUUUUUGGAUGUGCGUUACUCAGGAUUAGUAACGGAGCAUUUAAUCCCAAGAAACGUUUUCCAUCUUAGUAGAAUAUUUUUUAUUCAUCUGGUAACACUUCGGUACUGUCAGAAAUUGUUGAACGCGGCGACAGCCAUUUUGUUUUUCAACGUAGUGGCACGUGGAUCGAUCUCCAGUGCAUGUGAUCUUAAAAAUCUCAUGGUGGAUAACGGCGAUUAUUUCAGAUAAUGGCUCCGAUGACAAAUGCCGAAAGGCAGAAGAAAUAUAGAGAACGUUUAAAACAGAAUCCUAUAAAAUAUGAAGAGUUACGAGUAAGACAUUUAGAAAGAGUAAAUCAAUCAAGAAAGCGUGGCAUAAAAAAACAAAGUCAACAACAAAAAGAAAUAACUAGAGAGAAAUGGAGACAAUAUUCAGCACGUUACUAUGCUAAAAAGAAAAAUAAAUCUAGUAAUGAGCAGACAUCGGAUCCAGAAACUACAGAAGAAAAAAAUAAAGAUAAACAGUGGCGAUCUAGAUUCUCAAGAAUACAAAAAAAACUAAAGGCAUGCAAAGAAAAAUUAAAAAUUGCAUUACAAAAACAAGAAAACAUGAGAAAACAAAUUUAUCGUCUCAAACAACAAAUACUUAAAUUCAAACAAAAUAGCAAAGACCAAAAAAAGGAGAGCGUUUUGUCAUCUACGCCAUCUGAAUUUGACAUUAUAACGCAAUCUUUGGGAUUGAUUUAUAAAGAAUCUACACACACAGGGAAACAGGUCCUAAAAAAAGUUAUGAAAAAUUCGAUAACAUCAAAACACAGAAUGACAACAAAAAUAACAAAGGCUGUUGGAAUCAAAGGCAAAAUUCGAUCGAGAUUGACUAGAUUAGCAAAAAGGAAGUUAUUUAUACUCGAAAUACAUAUUUGUUACUAGUACUGAUAACUUCUGAUUAUAUUUAAUUGAAAAUAUAUGAAAGCUUAGCUUACAUACAUAUUUGUUACUAGUAUUUAAUUGAUACUGUGCUGCGGUUAUGUAAAUCAAAUUUAAUUAAUAUAUAUUGUUGAUUUGAA
Molecule: long non-coding RNA, 1439 nt
Organism: Cydia pomonella (codling moth)
Lineage: Eukaryota; Metazoa; Arthropoda; Insecta; Lepidoptera; Tortricidae
Exons: 2
Source: RefSeq, a predicted model, not a curated record